UGUCAGGGAGACAACUGGAACGGCGGCAGUGUUUUUCCAUCUGUUACUGUGGACCCGAGGAUCUGAUUAAGCCUCAAGUUCGUCAGCUGUGUGGAUCCUCUCAGGGGACAGAUGUGAUUAGAGUGUAGAGGAUGUGGAGCAGAGAGAAAGUGGGAAAAACAAGAAGAGAGAGGAGCUUCCCACCUCCACCAAGACAUCAAUUCUGAGAGCUGAUGUGUGGGAGUGGGGAGGCCUUUGGGUCCCAGUGCUGCUGGGGCCCCCACAUCUAAUUUCCCAGGCAGAGCUGCGGCCUGUGUCUCCCACACCCUCUGAGAGGGAGUCUCUGGGGAUAGCUGCAGAUGCCGCCAACACCGGCCUGGCUCAGAAGACGAGAGCAGCCAGGUCCAGAGAGACUAUUUGGACAAGAAUGUAGACCUCUCCACAGGGACCUCCAGUGACUGACUGUGACCAGUGAGUCAGCUGCCGGCUCUCUCUUCCCUCCUGGGGGAGUGAGGACUCACAAUCAGAAAAGGAGUUGAAUUACAGAAGAAGUUGUAUAUCUGGAGGAAGAGCUCUGUGAGUCCUCGUAGAGCCGCUAUAAAAUAGGGAAACGAAGGCACGGAGAGUAGAGGAGCCAGAUGGAAACCCAGGCAGGACCCACCCCUGACCCCACACUGAGUCUGCUCUCACUGAAGGAUGGUGAGAACCUCCCGGUUUUAGUCCAAGCUGCUGUUUCAUGCAGAGGAUGAACCACUUGGAGACUGUGGAAUUGUGUUGGAGAGCUUCAUUACCCACCACUGCAUCCACCAAGACAUUGUACUUCAUGGAAUGAAACAUGGUCUCCUAAGGGCAAUUUUGUUGGAUGGUAGGUGAAGUCAAAGUUUGUGGGAAUUUCCUUUCUGAAGUUAUCAUGAGCAAAUACAAUACAAUUCCCAAUGGAUAAACACUCAUUUAAAAAUGCUUCCUGGCUCUCUUUAAAUGAAAGUAAAUGUUAUUACCUUUCAUAAACUGAUAAGAAUGCUUUGGGGGAGCAUUCUUUUGCUGAAAAUGUCUAAGGCUCAAUGGGGAGAAUGAGUCCUCUUUAUCAGUGGGUAGAACCAAGCUGUCAGAUCCUUUCUGCCCUACAGAAGCUGAUGUUUGAUAAAGACUCAAUUGCUGGUGGCUUUUACGUGAGAGAGCCUAUUAAUUUUAUUUCACUAUCUCCAAAUUUACUUUAAUGUUCUACAGACAACAUUAUUGUUUAGUUCUUUCUAUUAAAAAAAAGAACUAUGUAGUUCUCCAAUGUUAAUUUCUUUGGUAAUCCUGGGGUGGUACUUAGUAAUAAUGACAAUAAUCACUUUCCAAUUUUGUCUUUUUAACACAGAUUUCGCUUGGUGUUGGGAGCAAUGCAAGGGACCAUUGUACCUUAACUCAUUUAUUCUCAUAGCGCCCCCAUGAGGCAGGUAUUAUGCAUGCAUGCUAAGUCACUUCAGUCGUGACCAACCCUUUGUGACUCUGUG
Non-coding RNA from Odocoileus virginianus texanus, 1478 nucleotides. The record is from RefSeq and is a predicted model, not a curated record. Lineage: Eukaryota; Metazoa; Chordata; Mammalia; Artiodactyla; Cervidae.